GUUGUAAUCCUGAUUAUCGUAUAACACUGUUCAUCAGAAUUGUCAGAGACUCCAUGAUGAGACUGCAAGGAUAGCUGACCUAAAAACAGCUAGAUUGCACAGAUGAAGUGGUGUCAGUGGCUAUCUGAUGUAAAGGAAUGGGCAGCUGGUGGUUUAUUAGAAUAUUCCAGUUCCUUGCAGGAAGUGCACAUACCAAGUUUAAGUAAGUGUGAUUAAAAGGUUUUACAUAAAAUUCAAACAGAUAGACGGUUCUGUGUUGUUUUAAAAGUGGAUUUGCUUUCACUAUUUCUUCUACAGAGACACCUGAUACAUCUCGUGCCAGUCAAGGCACAACACACAGAGGAAUUCAGCAAUCAAUUGAGGGGCUGUACCUUGUGUGAGGCACCGGAAGCGAACCCUCUACCGUCAGAAUGACAGCAGCAAGUUUCGCCAACGCCUUCGAAGGAAGCUAGCGAUAGAUAUCUUCAGGAGAUACAGAAAUACAAUGAUCUUGUACUAGAAUCGGCAACAACCAUUGACGUAGCUGUGGUGGAGCAUUCCCUAACUGGAGAGAGUACCGUUUCUCAAAUAUGGCCGUGGGAGGUUCAUGGCAGUGAUAUGUCUGUUUUUAGAUGCUUCACAGGAAUUUAUUUUCAGUUCUGCUUUAUAGAGUAUAUUGAACUAAGGCAUGCAUGUUACAUUGAGUGUUGUAAUAUUCAUGUAGUUUAUUGGUGUAUUUUCAGAUUUCUUAUGUAUCAGUUUGAUAAAAAAGUAAAUGUUUGUAGUGAUUAUGCAAGAUUGUCUCAUGUAUACAUAUAACUGUUAUUGAUUCUUAGCAAACAUUUCAAUCAAGAAACGAGUGCACAACCAAGUGAUGUAAACGAGGUGACUGUAUGAGGAAACGAGUUUUGGUUUUGGAGAUGGCACAACACUGCACGUGGUUGCAGAGCCUGGCAAUGGUUCUCAAGAACAAGUUGGCUAAGGAGGUGAUUGGCGUGGGGAACCGGUAUUUAGGCCGGCUCAGGACCCGCGAGUUCACAGAGAGCUGG
This is a long non-coding RNA of Carassius gibelio (silver crucian carp), 1028 nucleotides long. RefSeq lists it as uncharacterized. The transcript is spliced from 4 exons. The record is from RefSeq and is a predicted model, not a curated record. NCBI's taxonomy places the organism in Eukaryota, Metazoa, Chordata, Actinopteri, Cypriniformes, Cyprinidae.